CUGCUCAGCUUGCCUCCUGCUCCUUAGACUAACUUCUGUGCGCGCUACUGGCUGGUGAAGCUUGGAGGGGGCGUGAGCUGCAAGUCUCCGUGCCUGUGGUCAGUAAUGAAGACUUCUCUUUUUAUACACAGAUUACUGAGGAACUGCACAGGGCUAGACUGUAGCUCUUAAUUCCCCGACUUUUUUUCAUUUUAAACCUUCUCCGAGGAGAAUGCAGCCUCUCCACCAGCGGCUUUAUGAUGAGAUCACACGAUGCCCCCCGCAUUCAAUCAAGGAUGUGGCCCCCUCGGUGGCCUUGAGUUAGAAACGUUUGUAAAUGCUGCUUUUAGGCUCAGAAGAAAGGAGGAGGAAUGUCUUUGAGCUCUCAGGCAUCCCCCCUUCAGGGUUGUGGGUGUCCAGCUCAUAAUGCCCCUUGAUGCCAUGGACACCGCUGAGAUGAACCUGAAGUCAAGUCUGGGGCGAUCGUUGCAGCCGGCCUUGCACCCCGUUGCAGCUGGGUGUGUUUGGGCAGGACAUACAGGGCAAGGGCAGAGGCAACAUCCAUGCAAACCCAGGGGAUCCCGCAUUGUCCUGUCCUGUCCAAGUCUCUUGGCUCACUGGCAGCAGCUCGAGAGGCUCAAAAGGAAGAGAUUUUAUUUUUCCCGUCCCUCGCUGGACUUCCUAGGACGCAGCCUUUGA
Molecule: long non-coding RNA, 678 nt
Filed under: Crocodylus porosus (Australian saltwater crocodile)
Lineage: Eukaryota; Metazoa; Chordata; Crocodylia; Crocodylidae
Description: lncRNA (ENSCPRG00005006895.1)
Source: RNAcentral